AAGGUAGCAUAAUCACUUGCCUCCUAAUUAGAGGCUAGUAUGAACGGAUAGACGAAAGCAUAUUUGUCUCCCCUAUGGCACUAAAAAUUAUCUUUCAGGUGAAGAGACCUGGAUACUAUAAAAAGACGAAAAGACCCUAUGGAGCUUUACUCUCCUUAAUAUUUAAAAGAAAUGAAAAGAAAUUUCUUUAUUAAAAAAGUUUAGUUGGGGCGACUAAGGAGUACAACAAAGCCUCCUUCCUCUAAAGAAAAUAAAUCAUCCUAAAAUCCACGAAAGUGAAUAAAAAUCCAGCUACCCUAGGGAUAACAGGCUAAUCCUCCUCGAUAGCUCGCAUUGACAGGAGGGAUUGGCACCUCGAUGUUGGCUUAAGGUACCUUUAAAGUGCAGCAGCUUUUAUAGUGGGUUUGUUCAACCCUUAAAACCUUACGUGAUCUGAGUUCAGAC
Molecule: ribosomal RNA, 444 nt
Filed under: Prionospio sp. NHM 135
Lineage: Eukaryota; Metazoa; Annelida; Polychaeta; Spionida; Spionidae
Description: partial large subunit ribosomal RNA
Rfam family: Bacterial large subunit ribosomal RNA
Source: RNAcentral